AUUUUACCUAGAGGUAUAUAUUGGGAUAUUGGAUAAAGAUUUUAUUAUGUGUGUAUCAGCUAGUUAUAUACUAUGUACUGGUGAAAUUAAGUUCGGUAAACUAUGUAUUAAUUAUUGGAUUUCGGUUGCACAGUGGAAUAUGAAUUUCAAAAAUUAUUAUUAUUUUUUUUAUUAGAACAUACUUUUAACUCUUAAAAGCAGCAAACGGAAACUCAAUCUCUGAAAGACCUUGCUGAUUUCAAUCAAACAAAAUAUGCAUAAUAAUUAAGAUAAGAAUUAUACCUUUCAGAAGACAAUGAUCAAAUACAAGAACAAUCUCCACAGGACACCCACUUGGAUGUCCUCUAAUGAUAGUCCACACAUGAUCGAUCAUGGAUCUUUCCAAUCUGUUGCUAUGUUGAAGAUAGCUUCACAAGAACGCAGCCAACUUAUCUUCUCAAGAAUGAGUGCACCGCAACCUGAUGACCUUUAAAACUCUAUUAGAUUAUGCCAAAAUUCUUUUUCCAAAAGAUUGAUACACCUAGAGCGGAUUAAGAU
This 537-nucleotide long non-coding RNA is filed under the name Elaeis guineensis (African oil palm). Its description in RNAcentral is "long non-coding RNA (EGUI_LNC030038)". Lineage: Eukaryota; Viridiplantae; Streptophyta; Magnoliopsida; Arecales; Arecaceae. The record is from RNAcentral.